Molecule: long non-coding RNA, 351 nt
Filed under: Androctonus crassicauda
Lineage: Eukaryota; Metazoa; Arthropoda; Arachnida; Scorpiones; Buthidae
Source: RNAcentral
CGGCUUAGGAUCAGGGUCUGGUGAAGGGGCAGGAGGCGCCAUGUCGGGCCGCGAAGGUGGCAAGAAGAAGCCCCUGAAGCAGCCCAAGAAGCAAGCCAAGGAGAUGGACGAGGAAGAUAAGGCAUUCAAACAGAAGCAGAAGGAGGAGCAGAAGAAACUCGAGGAGCUAAAAGCAAAGGCCGCGGGGAAAGGCCCCCUGGCCACCGGUGGAAUUAAGAAAUCUGGCAAAAAGUAAGCUGUUCCUUGUGCCUGAGGCAAUGAUGACCCUUAGUUCCAUUCCUGUUUAAACUCCUGGAUUCCCUGCCAUAAUAUCUGUUGCCACCUAUAGCUAGAAUGAAGUGUUGUCUUGGA